CCUACGGGAGGCAGCAGUGGGGAAUAUUGCACAAUGGGCGCAAGCCUGAUGCAGCCAUGCCGCGAGUGUGAAGAAGGCUUUCGGGUUGUAAAGCACUUUCAGCGAGGAGGAAAGGGUAAAUCUUAAUAGGGUUUAUCUGUGACGUUACUCGCAGAAGAAGCACCGGCUAACUCCGUGCCAGCAGCCGCGGUAAUACGGAGGGUGCGAGCGUUAAUCGGAAUUACUGGGCGUAAAGCGCGCGUAGGCGGUUAAUUAAGUCAGAUGUGAAAUCCCAGGGCUCAACCUUGGAACUGCAUUUGAAACUGGUUAACUAGAGUUUUGUAGAGGGUGGUAGAAUUUCAGGUGUAGCGGUGAAAUGCGUAGAGAUCUGAAGGAAUACCAGUGGCGAAGGCGGCCACCUGGACAAAGACUGACGCUGAGGCGCGAAGGCGUGGGGAGCAAACGGGAUUAGAUACCCCGGUAGUCCACGCAGUAAACGAUGUCUAUUAGAAUUUUGUGGCUAUAUGCCGUGGGAUUCAAAGCUAACGCAUUAAAUAGACCGCCUGGGGAGUACGGCCGCAAGGUUAAAACUCAAAUGAAUUGACGG
This 586-nucleotide ribosomal RNA is filed under the name uncultured Gammaproteobacteria bacterium. RNAcentral's name for it is "bacterial SSU rRNA". It matches the Rfam family "Bacterial small subunit ribosomal RNA", at positions 338 to 916 of the family's 1533-position model. Lineage: Bacteria; Pseudomonadati; Pseudomonadota; Gammaproteobacteria. The record is from RNAcentral.